RNAcentral lists this unclassified non-coding RNA (311 nucleotides) under rhizosphere metagenome. Its description in RNAcentral is "partial ribosomal RNA internal transcribed spacer region". The record is from RNAcentral.
GUAGGUGAACCUGCGGAAGGAUCAUUAAAAACGAUCACCGGUGUAUUCCAGCGACGUCGUUUACUCGACCUUGUGGGGCUGUCUUAAACUCACAGCGUUGCCAGCCGCGCGGAAUACUGAUGCCCUAGCCUUCGGGCUAGGGGCCGAGUGAAUCCCACCCGUGUCUACAUACUCUUGUUGCUUUGGCGGGCCGUGGCCUCCACUGUGGGCUCUGCCUGCAUGUGCCCGCCAGAGGAUCCAACUCUGAAUUUUAGUGAUGUCUGAGUACUAUAUAAUAGUUAAAACUUUCAACAACGGAUCUCUUGGUUCUG